RNAcentral lists this long non-coding RNA (223 nucleotides) under Anas platyrhynchos platyrhynchos (common mallard). RNAcentral describes it as "lncRNA (ENSAPLG00000021021.1)". The record is from RNAcentral. Lineage: Eukaryota; Metazoa; Chordata; Aves; Anseriformes; Anatidae.
UUACACAGUAUUCACAGGCAAUUGAAGGAGUAAAAUGUUGGUGAGUGUCACAGCAGAUAUUCUUGCAUAACGUUUUCAAAAGUUGGAAUUUUUUUUUCCUUUUGCAGAUGGCUUACGUUGUUUGUUUUGUUUGCCUCUAUGUCAGCUUGGAAGAUAAUCAAAUCAACGUGGAGAGUUAACAGAUCUAAGAGAUGAAGAAUCAGCAAACUGAACAAUGGUAGCC